Podarcis lilfordi (Lilford's wall lizard) is the source of this 4131-nucleotide non-coding RNA. The record is from the annotation of a GenBank genome assembly. Lineage: Eukaryota; Metazoa; Chordata; Lepidosauria; Squamata; Lacertidae.
GCUAGGUGGGCAGGAGCUGGGACCGAACGAUGGGAGCUCUCCCCGCCGCGGGGAUUCGAAAGAUUAAAAAUACAUUAAAAUGUCACACAUUAAAAACUUCCCUGAACAGGGCUGCCUUCAGAUGUCUUCUAAAUGUCAGGUAGUUGUUUAUCUCUUUGACAUCUGAUGGGAGGGUGUUCCACAGGGCGGGCGCCACUACCGAAAAGGCCCUCUGCCUGGUUCCCUGUAGCUUUGCAUGUCGCAGUGAGGGAACCGCUAGAAGGCCCUCUGCGCUGGACCUCAGUGUCCAGGCAGAACAAUGGAGGUGGAGACGCUCCUUCAGGUAUACUGGACCGAGGCCUUUUAGGGAUUUAAAGGUCAGCACCAACACUUUAAAUUGUGCUUGGAAAUGUACUGGGAGCCAAUGUAGGUCUUUCAGAACCAGUGUUAUAUGGUCUCAGCGGCCGCCCCCGGUCACCAGUCUAGCUGCUGCAUUCUGGAUUAGUUGUAGUUUCCGGGUCACCUUCAAAGGUAGCCCCAGGUAGAGCGCACUGCAGUAGUCCAAGCGGGAGAUAACCAGAGCAUGCACCACUCUGGCGAGACAGUCCGCGGGCAGGUAGGGUCUCAGCCUGCGUACCAGAUGGAGCUGGUAGACAGCUGCCCUGGACACAGAAUUGAGCAUUGAUGUGCCUUCUGUGUUGAGCAAAGGAGAGAUACAAAGAGCACUCUCUGAGAAAAUGUGGCCGUGGUCAACGAAGGAGCCUUUUCUAGUUGGGGGGGGGGGCAAACAUGAUCACCCCAUCUUGUGAUCUUCUGCUGUUUGAUGUGGCAGCCAUCUGCUAUGCCCCCUGGGACUGGCACUCGUGGCACUGUCUCAAAAUUCCAAAUGUGUUCACUGCUUCAAUGUAAAUCUCUCCCCCCCACCCCUUGCUUGGCUUGCCCUGUGGAAAGAUAACUGCCCAAGUAGGAGAAGUGACCCACAUUUUCCAAUGUUACAUCACUGAGUUGUCUUUGUGGCGCUGCAGAGGGUUUGUUUUGUGCUUGGUGGUGCAGCGAAAUAAGGCACAACACACUAAACUAAACUUCCAACUCUGGAAGGAGCAUUUUUCAACUAAGUAAGUUUCAACAAGGGACGCGGGUGAUGCUGUGAGUUAAACCACAGAGCCUAGGGCUUGCCCAUCAGAAGGUCGGCGAUUCGAAUCCCCGCGAUGGGGUGAGCUCCCGUUGCUCGGUCCCUGCUCCUACAAACCUAGCAGUUUGAAAGCACGUCAAAGUGCAAGUAGAUAAAUAGGUACCGCCCCAGCGGGAAGGUAGACGGCGUUUCCAUGCACUGCUCUGGUUCGCCAGAAGCGGCUUAGUCAUGCUGGCCACAUGACCUGGAAGCUGUACGCCGGCUCCCUCGGCCAAUUAAGCGAGAUGAGCGCCGCAACCCCAGAGUCGGCCACGACUGGACCUAAUGGUCGGGGGUCCCUUUACCUUUACCUAAGUUUCAUGAAAAGUUUUCCAAAGUCCAGGGCUUCCUGGUGCUGACUCACAAAGGUAUGCUGGCACAAUUCUUUCCACUGCCUGGCUGCACAUUGCCACGACUAAGCUGUGUGAUUUGUAAAAUGUGUACACUGCAACAUUGUCUCAAAUAUCCCCCUCUUCAUUUCACGUCUCAUUUGGGAGCUUGCAUCCUCAUGGCAAGGGAGAGACCAACCUCGCUCUGUUGAUGCACCGGAGAAAGAACAGCUUGCUUUCCUCUUCCCUCCCCUUUCCUUUUUCCUUUUGUGUUGCGCCUGUUAGAUUUUUGAAGCUCUGGGACGAGACAGACACACAUCCUUUAGAAACCUUGAGAAGCUUGAUAGGGGUUGUUAGAAGAAAAAACAACCUUCCCAUAGCACCUGCUAAUGGUUGUUUGCACAAAAACAUUACACAACAACUGUAGGCAACUAUAUGGUCUGUCGCAAGGUGGUGCUGUUCCUCCCUUUUGAAAAGUUCUCUUGGGGAAAGCAUGAUCAUGCAUUUCCCUUAAAACUGACAGGCGAACACUGCAAAUCUGUACCUGUGGAAAAUUGUCAUUUAUCUCAACUUGCCAGUAUUUAUCCCAAUCAAAUUAUCUCUAGCUUUAUUGAUGGACAGAACGGGGAUUGAGAGUCUGGUGCAGAAAAUAAAAUGGAUGUUGAUAUUAGAAGCACCGGUUGUUUUUCAAUCUGUUUGCAAAUGAAUAUUAAAAUAAGAAAAUUUAACCGCAGACAUUUGUUGUGCAAUAUACCAAAAUUGUUAACUCUCAGACAUCCUGCAGCAGAGAUAUAGUGCUUGCUAUAAGAAAUUCAGCUUACAAAUGUCCUAUUAAUUGUCAUCAUUUUUAUUAGGGGCUGUGCAUUCUGAGUAAUUAAGAAGAAUACGAAAGCUGUUUUGGCUACAGAGAUCAGCAAGCAACGGUCACAGUGUGGGACAGUUGUUAAAAUCUGGGUUUCCCUCUUGGUGUAUAUACGCGGUUACCAAACUGGAGACGGACCCUUUUGUGGGGGAGGUUUGAAAACAUAUUUUUAAAAUGCCACAGCGCUAAUGCAAAUACAGCCCAUUAUUUCCAUAUUGUGUGUUCUGUGGCUGAAAGAGAAUGGCUCGUGGCAGCCUUACAAUGUAGCUCAGCAUUAAAUAAUGGUAAGAGAUUUUACGGGGAGGGGGACCCAAAAUAAAAUCAAAAGAAAACUGAAGGAGCCAAGUUACAGAUUGCUUGCAAUAUCACCAGAUACACAGCAUGUUUUAAUUAGAUAGAAAGAAUGGAUUUCUGGACCAAAGCUAACAAUUUGAAAAAGUACUCUUACAAAAUAAAGAUAAACUUCUGUCUAAAAUGUAUAAUUUUUUUUACUAGAAUGGGAAACAAAAGACGAGCUUGCAAAAUAUAUUGAUGUUGAUUAUGUAUUUUGUGGUUUUAUAUUUUGAUUUUGUUCUGUGAACCGCCCUUAGACCUCCGGGUACAGGGCACUAUAUAAAUUCAAAAAAUAAUAAUAAAAAAGAAGUUUGUUUCCAUAUAGAAACAGGCUGUCACUUCCAAAGAGAGCUUUGGCAAUAGGCGAGAAACCUUUUAUGAAAAAAUUAACAAACACCCAUAUUCUAGAGAUUACAGAAACAUCUGUGCUAAGGUUAUAUGUCCUCCCCACAAACUGGAGUAUUUUUGCAUUUCCCAAAUACACAUUAUAUUCCCUGGUUAUGAUUAUGACUCAGAUAAGCAUAUGGCGACAGGAAAUAAUCAACCAUCAUGCCUUCCAGAAGUAUUUACUCAUUCCGAUGGCUUAACCCAACUGUGCAUACUGAAAAGCUUCCAAUUGCUUUUCUAACCACAAAGCAGCCUUUGCAGAACUCCAGCUGAGAUGAUUUAAAUAAGCGAGGCUUUUCUGAGCGGCCAAUAAACGUGCGAUUUCAAAUGUCUCUCUGAGCAACACUGUAGAGUUCUGCUAAGACAAAUAACCUUGCAAAAAGCUCUUCCAAUUCGGAAAGAAACAGUGACUCACAUUUGGAGGUGGGCUUAGCCCAGGGAUCUGAAAUCCUCAGGCAAAGUGCCGUUUUCUCAUUGGCGAGAAGAAGAAUCUGUACCAAAUGAAAACUUCAAUGUGUGUGCCAGAGAUUCGACAGAUCAGCAGCACAGCUCAGCAGAACCUCUGGCAAGCCAGAUGUUGUUGGACUUAAACUCAUAUCCAAUCCAGCCAAUAUGGGAGUUGCAGAGCAGCCACAUCUGGCGGGGCAGAGGUUGCUGAUCCCUGUAUUAAAUCUUUGUAAUUUCAACCCCUGUCUUACCUUUGCCACUUUUGUUCACUAUCAAAAUGGUUUGUUCAUCCGACUGGGCCUUAUUUACAUUGGUCCAUUAACUUCCUUGUCUGUGCUAUAGAUUUUGCUUCUCUCUCUAUAUGAUUUAUUAUUAUUAUUAUUAAAUUUUCUGAUUUAUAUUUCAAAAUAAACAUUUUACAAAUUUUAAAAUAUCCAGUGACUUCUUCUCUUUCCAUGGUUCAUUUUACAUAUCAUAAAUCCCUGCAUAUUUUGCAAAAACUAUAACAUUCAGUAUUCCAUUAUUGUACCCAUCCAAACUUGUUUACGCUGUUGAAUUUAUCUUAAUGCUGCCAGCGUUUAGCUGUACACAAUUAUUUCCCCUAUAUUCAAUAAACGUUUUCC